GACGAACGCUGGCGGCGUGCUUAACACAUGCAAGUCGAACGGAAGGGCCCUGCUUUUGUGGGGUGCUCGAGUGGCGAACGGGUGAGUAACACGUGAGUAACCUGCCCUUGACUUUGGGAUAACUUCAGGAAACUGGGGCUAAUACCGGAUAGGAGCUCCUGCUGCAUGGUGGGGGUUGGAAAGUUUCGGCGGUUGGGGAUGGACUCGCGGCUUAUCAGCUUGUUGGUGGGGUAGUGGCUUACCAAGGCUUUGACGGGUAGCCGGCCUGAGAGGGUGACCGGCCACAUUGGGACUGAGAUACGGCCCAGACUCCUACGGGAGGCAGCAGUGGGGAAUAGUGCACAAUGGGCGGAAGCCUGAUGCAGCAACGCCGCGUGCGGGAUGACGGCCUUCGGGUUGUAAACCGCUUUCGCCUGUGACGAAGCGUGAGUGACGGUAAUGGGUAAAGAAGCACCGGCUAACUACG
Molecule: ribosomal RNA, 466 nt
Filed under: uncultured bacterium
Lineage: Bacteria
Description: partial 16S ribosomal RNA
Rfam family: Bacterial small subunit ribosomal RNA
Source: RNAcentral